This 253-nucleotide ribosomal RNA is filed under the name uncultured bacterium. RNAcentral describes it as "partial 16S ribosomal RNA". It matches the Rfam family "Bacterial small subunit ribosomal RNA", at positions 524 to 776 of the family's 1533-position model. The record is from RNAcentral.
UACGUAGGGGGCUAGCGUUGUCCGGAAUCAUUGGGCGUAAAGAGCGUGUAGGCGGCUCAGUAAGUCCGCUGUGAAAGUCCAGGGCUCAACCCUGGAAUGCCAGUGGAAACUGUUGAGCUAGAGUCCGGAAGAGGCGAGUGGAAUUCCUGGUGUAGCGGUGAAAUGCGCAGAUAUCAGGAGGAACACCAAUGGCGAAGGCAGCUCGCUGGGACGGUACUGACGCUGAGACGCGAAAGCGUGGGGAGCAAACAGG